Molecule: ribosomal RNA, 251 nt
Filed under: uncultured bacterium
Lineage: Bacteria
Description: partial 16S ribosomal RNA
Rfam family: Bacterial small subunit ribosomal RNA
Source: RNAcentral
GACGGGGGGGGCAAGUGUUCUUCGGAAUGACUGGGCGUAAAGGGCACGUAGGCGGUGAAUCGGGUUGAAAGUGAAAGUCGCCAAAAAGUGGCGGAAUGCUCUCGAAACCAAUUCACUUGAGUGAGACAGAGGAGAGUGGAAUUUCGUGUGUAGGGGUGAAAUCCGUAAAUAUACGAAGGAACGCCAAAAGCGAAGGCAGCUCUCUGGGUCCCUACCGACGCUGGGGUGCGAAAGCAUGGUGAGCGAACAGG